GUAUCAGUCUCUCUCGCUCGACGACAGACUCCGACCUGAACGAGAAGAAAUGUCGGCGAUCCAGAAGAUCUCUCGCCUCGUGCACGACCUGGACGAGCUCGCGGCGAGCUACACAAAGACCUCCGACGAGAUCGACACGCUGCAGGAGGCCAAGCGGCACAUCAAGAACGAGCUCAAGUCCGCGCGACAUGAAGGCCUCCGACCGGAACCUCCUGAAGGCCGAAAAGAGGACCGCCAUCCAGAAAGCUCGAGCGCCAGUGGGCUUGUGCAGGACAAGCAGAUGCGGCCCAUUUCAACUUGAACCGGCUCAAAAGGCCCAGUCGCGAGGCUCGCGCUCGCGCGCUUAUCUUCAUCGGCGCGUCCGCCGCCGAUGCUUUGGCUCGGUCGAGCGAGCCGCCGCGAGAGCUACCGGCGAUGGCUCUUCAAGCUCCUCUUCUCUUCUUAUCAUCUCCUCCUCCGCUCCCUCCGUCCACAUGCGACCCCGAGAUGAGCUCACAUGGCGUUCCUUCGCGUUUUCAAGUCAAGCCCAUCUUGUCAAGAAGACCCAGAAACUCUCCGAGCUGGGUGAGGGCCACAUCUUCUCAGAAGCACGUGUACCCUGAUCCCAUCCCGGAAUUCGCAGCAUCUGUGUGUUUCCUAUUCCUUCAUAAACCUCUCCUGCUCGUGGUCGCGUCAUGUGCCUGAAUUUCGCGAUUCUUGUCUUUUCUUUUUCGUUUUUUGACCUGAUGAGUCGUGUGUGGUCUGUGAAUGUGUUGCGUUCCACAAGGAGACGCGCAAGUUCGAGGGUGAGCUCAGGGAGAAGCUGUCCGGGGACGUUGACACAAUUGGGGAGGAUCUUGAUUCGGUCAUACGAGUGCGCACCCAGGAUUGUUAACUUAGACUGCUGUGUCUUCAAGCUCAGCUAUCCAGCGAAUUUCUCCAUGAGGAAUAUGGAGGACCUGGGACAUUGCUGGUGGAUCCUUUUACAGAUAUGCUCGUCGCCCUUAAGGAGAACAAUUUGACUGGAGCUACUCUCGCUGUGCGAGCAUCGAUGCUGUGGGCUCAAAACUUUGUUGAUCAGGACUGGGAAAUUUGGAACACGAGACGAUCGAGCUGAAUUGUAUUAUUGUGCUGUCUCAAAUGUUGUACACUUAAUGCAUUAUGACCGUGAUAAUGAUUAAACAAUAGAGUAUUCGUGAAUUUUCAUGAAAACAUAUUCGAUUGCUGCUGCUUAUGACUUGACUGUA
RNA transcript from Syzygium oleosum, 1226 nucleotides. It is a transcript of the gene named protein PLASTID REDOX INSENSITIVE 2, chloroplastic, with no coding region annotated. NCBI's taxonomy places the organism in Eukaryota, Viridiplantae, Streptophyta, Magnoliopsida, Myrtales, Myrtaceae. The record is from RefSeq and is a predicted model, not a curated record. The transcript is spliced from 2 exons.